Molecule: ribosomal RNA, 253 nt
Filed under: uncultured bacterium
Lineage: Bacteria
Description: partial 16S ribosomal RNA
Rfam family: Bacterial small subunit ribosomal RNA
Source: RNAcentral
UACGGAGGGGGCGAGCGUUAUUCGGAAUUAUUGGGCGUAAAGGGCGCGUAGGCGGCUGUACAAGUCAAAGGUGAAAUCCCUCGGCUCAACUGAGGAACUGCCUUUGAAACUGUACGGCUUGAGGCCGGGAGGGGGUAGCGGAAUUCCCAGUGUAGCGGUGAAAUGCGUAGAUACUGGGAGGAACACCAGUGGCGAAGGCGGCUACCUGGACCGGUACUGACGCUGAGGCGCGAAAGCGUGGGUAGCAAACAGG